AAGGUCAAAAUUCAUAAUCAAACUGACUUCAAAAUCUAUUUUUAACUAUUUCACUUCAGAUCUCCAAGACUUGGGCUGCAUAUUGCAUCAAGGAAGUGAAGCAGGAGUUCAAAAGAAAAAAUCAAGUUUCUCAAACUUCCCCUUCUCUACAGCCAUUGUUCUUUGUUCUAAUACAGAUAAAAGCAGUCACUUUUGUCCCUGUUUGGUGGAGCCCAGGCUGUUCCUUCUAAAAGCUCCUUGUUGCUCAAAAGGAUGAUGGGGGUCAAUGGCCUUGACUCUGUUGGUGACUCCUUCCCAGGUCUCAACUCUUCUCUUUGUUUAACUUGAUCUUUAACACCCCCU
This 342-nucleotide long non-coding RNA is filed under the name Chinchilla lanigera (long-tailed chinchilla). RNAcentral's name for it is "lncRNA (ENSCLAG00000027887.1)". Lineage: Eukaryota; Metazoa; Chordata; Mammalia; Rodentia; Chinchillidae. The record is from RNAcentral.